RNAcentral lists this non-coding RNA (25 nucleotides) under Rattus norvegicus (Norway rat). The record is from RNAcentral. Lineage: Eukaryota; Metazoa; Chordata; Mammalia; Rodentia; Muridae.
UGAGAAUAGGUGUGGCUCACUUUUC